GUAAUGAACCAUGUUUUGAAUGAAGUGUCGAAGCCUCAACAAAGCCUCCAUCAGCCAUCACUAGUAAUUACUCCGCCAAGGAACGGUGGAGUUAUGUGAUGAUCGGUGUACGUUUGUCUGUGAAUCCAUCUGUCUGUGUGAAACAUUCCUCAAAAACAGACGGAUUUGGAGGAAAUUUUCAGGGGAAGUCAGAAAUGACACAAGGAUGUAGCUGCCGGCACUGCAUCGCUGUAACCAUGACGUGAACACUGUGUCAGUUACCUGUUGAUGAUCACAUGAUUGCGAUCCCACUACAAAUCGAAUGUGAUUUAUCAGUUGGAAAUCAUACAAGGAACAAAUGAUUAAACUGUGGGCUGUUUCUGAGUCCCAUCAAUUCCUGCAGCCCGCUACAUAUUUACGUCAUGCAAUGUAGCAAACCACAGCCAGACAAUGGUGAAGCUCCUGAUGUUUCACAGUGCCUUUAUUUACAUUCAGCCGUCAGCCUUAUUUUGAACACAAAUUCACCUUUCUGCCCUUCACUCCUUUCUUCAGGAAACACUGUAAGAGCUUGUCUCCAUUGCAGCUGUUUCUAAGUUUAGACACAUCCUUUGUUAGACAGCAACAGCGUGGAACUGUUUUCUUUCAACUUUCCGUGAAUUUUUGGACUUUUCGGCAACGUCUUCAUCAUGUCAAGAAACCGCUUCUUGGAUAAACACUUCCUGUACCGCUGGAAUAGUGACAAAAUAACAGCCCAUAACAUUAAAAAUACGCCUUCAAAAUAAAAGCGUGGAGGGAACGGUUAUUUAACACUAGCCCCUGUCCCACCUGGUAAGCUCAGCUACUAAUUAAAUUUCUUUUGUUUCUUUUUCUUUGCCCCUAGUGUGAAUAGUGUUAAUCUGUUUUAAAAGUACAUGUUUAGAAAAUUGUAUUAAAAUAAAGCAUUUUAAUUUUGGGA
This is a long non-coding RNA of Amphiprion ocellaris (clown anemonefish), 934 nucleotides long. RefSeq lists it as uncharacterized. The transcript is spliced from 2 exons. NCBI's taxonomy places the organism in Eukaryota, Metazoa, Chordata, Actinopteri, Pomacentridae. The record is from RefSeq and is a predicted model, not a curated record.